AGGCUUCCCUUUACUCUAAAUCCUUGGUAUAGUGUGAUGUCAGCUUCGGUUGGCUAUGGCGAUAAACACCUUACGCAAUAGGUGAAACGGACCCGGGGGCGGUACCCGGCGCCUCCACCAAAAAUUUAAAUUUUAAAAGUUGUGAAAAACAUCAGAUUUUUCUCUCUUUGAUCUCUUAACUUCUAUGGGGGCGAAACAGGAUCGACGUGCAUUGAAAGGUUUGGUUUUCGCUCGGCAUUGUUCCGUCGUUAUAGGGCUAUAAACAUAAGUGCAAACAAUAAUUCGUUUGCCGCAAAUGACAAUGUCAGGAUUAUCGGCGCGACUGCUGCCGCUGCCUGACGUAUCAUAAGCGCGGUUAGAGGGGCACCGGGCAACAGAAGCCCCUCGCA
RNAcentral lists this transfer-messenger RNA (389 nucleotides) under Caedimonas sp. It matches the Rfam family "Alphaproteobacteria transfer-messenger RNA". From Rfam's summary of the family: Bacterial tmRNA, also known as 10Sa RNA or SsrA, is named for its dual tRNA and mRNA-like properties. Its role is to liberate the mRNA from a stalled ribosome. To accomplish this part of the tmRNA is used as a reading frame that ends in a translation stop signal. Lineage: Bacteria; Pseudomonadati; Pseudomonadota; Alphaproteobacteria; Holosporales; Caedimonadaceae. The record is from RNAcentral.